CGGAGGGUGCAAGCGUUAUCCGGAUUCACUGGGUUUAAAGGGUGCGUAGGCGGGUUGGUAAGUCCGUGGUGAAAUCCCCAAGCUUAACUUGGGAACUGCCGUGGAUACUAUCAAUCCUGAAUAUCGUGGAGGUAAGCGGAAUAUGUCAUGUAGCGGUGAAAUGCUUAGAUAUGACAUAGAACACCAAUUGCGUAGGCAGCUUACUACACGAUCAUUGACGCUGAGGCACGAAAGCGUGGGGAGCAAACAGGAUUAGAUACCCUGGUAGUCCACGCCCUAAACGAUGGAUACUCGACAUCAGCGAUACACUGUUGGUGUCUGAGCGAAAGCAUUAAGUAUCCCACCUGGGAAGUACGAUCGCAAGAUUG
This 368-nucleotide ribosomal RNA is filed under the name uncultured organism. RNAcentral's name for it is "bacterial SSU rRNA". It matches the Rfam family "Bacterial small subunit ribosomal RNA", at positions 526 to 896 of the family's 1533-position model. The record is from RNAcentral.